AUUUUUCUCAUCUGGGUUUUCAGUUUUCAUCACUUUGAUCAAUUUAGUUUCUAUAUUUUCAGAAGCUGAUUUCAUCCAAGGUUACUGAAUCACCCUUAUAAGGCAAGUCUUCAUGAGAUCAACGAGGAACCCAGUUGCCCAUCUCCUUUAAUCUUUGAUUUCGAGCAGGCAACUCUUGACGAAGAAGAUAUAAAGGAGCUCAUAUGGAAGGAGUCUCUGAACUUCUGCUAGGAUCAGAUGCAAUGGACACAACUGCAACCACUAUUUAGAAGCAUGCAUUGGUAAAGGAAGCCAGUGAAGGAAGCACAGAGCUUGGUUUCUCAUUAAAGCAUGAUAUUAACAUAAACCUAUCUAUCUAGCUUGGGUGUUCAUGGUUUUCAUAUAUGGAUGGUGACUUCAGGUAGAGGCACAUAAUCUUAAAAACAAAGUGAUUCAAACAAAAAGAAGUUGCAGAGAUUGGGGGAUGAUUAUUUUGAAGGACUUCUAGGGCCUAUUUAUUGGUGAUCAUCAGAUAUUGAGAAAAAUCAAUGUGGUUUCAUACUUUUUUUGAGUUUUCCUUCCUCUUUGAUUAAUCAAGCAUGGCAACUCUCCUUUUGGGUCUUUGAUCAGCUAUGUAAGCUUAUGUUUGCUUUUUCUGUUCAUAGAAAGGUAGCAAAGUCUUCGAAUGAUAUGUAAAUAGACGUAAUUAGUGAAGUAGAGGACAUUUUUUCU
Molecule: long non-coding RNA, 711 nt
Organism: Lotus japonicus
Lineage: Eukaryota; Viridiplantae; Streptophyta; Magnoliopsida; Fabales; Fabaceae
Exons: 4
Source: RefSeq, a predicted model, not a curated record